AAAAAGGGGAUUCCCCUAGUAGCGGCGAGCGAAGCGGGAAGAGCUCAAAUUUAUAAUCUGGCACCUUCGGUGUCCGAGUUGUAAUCUCUAGAAAUGUUUUCCGCGUUGGACCGCACACAAGUCUGUUGGAAUACAGCGGCAUAGUGGUGAGACCCCCGUAUAUGGUGCGGACGCCCAGCGCUUUGUGAUACAUUUUCGAAGAGUCGAGUUGUUUGGGAAUGCAGCUCAAAUUGGGUGGUAAAUUCCAUCUAAAGCUAAAUAUUGGCGAGAGACCGAUAGCGAACAAGUACCGUGAGGGAAAGAUGAAAAGCACUUUGGAAAGAGAGUUAACAGUACGUGAAAUUGUUGGAAGGGAAACGCUUGAAGUCAGACUUGCUUGCCGAGCAAUCGGUUUGCAGGCCAGCAUCAGUUUUUCGGGGUGGAUAAUGGUAGAGAGAAGGUAGCAGUUUCGGCUGUGUUAUAGCUCUCUACUGGAUACACCCUGGGGGACUGAGGAACGCAGUGUGCCUUUGGCGGGGGUUUCGACCUCUUCACACUUAGGAUGCUGGUGGAAUGGCUUUAAACGACCCGUCUAAAAAACGGGGACCAAAAAAAGAGGAAACCAUUUGCCAAUUUUGGGUUUGGAAGAGCAAAAGAGGUGCCUGGGCGUAUCUGGGGGGUAUCAGGUAGUGUCGGGGGUUGUCUGCAAUUAU
RNAcentral lists this ribosomal RNA (692 nucleotides) under Rhodotorula mucilaginosa. RNAcentral's name for it is "eukaryotic LSU rRNA". The stretch from base 1 to 582 matches the Rfam family "Eukaryotic large subunit ribosomal RNA", at positions 62 to 664 of the family's 3401-position model. Lineage: Eukaryota; Fungi; Basidiomycota; Microbotryomycetes; Sporidiobolales; Sporidiobolaceae. The record is from RNAcentral.